RNAcentral lists this unclassified non-coding RNA (630 nucleotides) under Hevea brasiliensis (rubber tree). Lineage: Eukaryota; Viridiplantae; Streptophyta; Magnoliopsida; Malpighiales; Euphorbiaceae. The record is from RNAcentral.
AGAAGAAGAAGAGAGAGAGAGAGAUCAAGGAAAAGAGGGAGAGAGAGAGAGAGUUUGUAUUCAUUAAUCUUGACUGGAUCCAAUUACAGCCCAAAGAGUUCUAUUUAUCUAGUAAUUUAUUACAGAUUCAAUUUUGCAACAGGUGGGCUGAGAUGGUCUAAAUGGUCCUAGGCCUUUGAGGGUCUAUUCCAGAAGAAAGACAACAUAGGUAGUAAGGGAAAUGGAUGCUGAGCUGGAGAAUUUUGGUACCAACAAUCUGUUAAGAGGAGGAGCUGGAAACGGUUAUGCAGCAGUGCAUUUGAAGGGAAGGAAUAUGCAGUAGCACUUUUGAAGGAAGGAAUCUAUAUAGAUGGAAUAAUGGGGAGGAGAGAGCAUGCUUUUCUGGUUAUUGACUUUUGCAAACGGCUAUUAAGCUGGGCUAGAAUUCUUUCUUAAGUUUACUAGAGAACCAAUUAUUUCUUUCAUCUUUUGGUUGUAUUUGAUGUUUUUUAUGUUAUGUUUCCCAUUUAAAGUUCAAUCAAAGAAAGUUGCCAAAGUUGUUUAUUUCCAUUCUCUUCCUAUUUUGUUUUAUUUCAAAUUCCUAACUCUAUCAAAUUGGUUUGACCUGGUGGAUGCCACAAAUGAGGAUGG